GUUGAAGUAUAUGAAGAAAACCCAGCCUCAGGUAUGUGGUUCAACAAGGAAAGACCUGCAGACCCUACUCUGAGAACAGCUUAGAGCACCUGGCAAGGCCUUGGGAAUAGUAGUGAAAUGAAGCCAGUGAGUCAGGAAAAUGAGCUGAUAGCUUUGAACAUCUCCCCCACCCUGGGCCCCAAAGGACUGGCCCAGGUAGGCUCAGGCCCCACUCCAGGGAUGGUCGAGAAAUGGGGGCAGAAACAGCCCACUCCUGGAGGUCAUAGGAGACAUGGACAGACCAGAGGAGCCUAAGGAGACAAGACAUCUAAAUGCAACGUGGGAUGCUGGAACAGAAAAGGACAUUGGUGGGAACACUGAAAAGAAAAACAUCAAGAAAUAGGUGCCUGGGACUUCCCUGGUGGUCCAGUGAGUAAGACUCCGCAGUCCCAAUGCAGGGGGCCCGUGUUGGAUCCCUCAUCCGGGAACUAGAUCCCACAUGCAUGCUGUAACUAAGAAGCCCACAUGCCACAACUAAAGAUCCCACAUGCAGCAACUAAAAGAUGCCGCAACGAAGAUCCCACGUGCUGCAACUAAGACCCGGCGCAGCCUACAUACAUAAAUAAAUAAACAAACAAACAAACCACAACUAAGACCUGGCACAGCCAAAAUAAAUAAA
Molecule: long non-coding RNA, 658 nt
Organism: Eubalaena glacialis (North Atlantic right whale)
Lineage: Eukaryota; Metazoa; Chordata; Mammalia; Artiodactyla; Balaenidae
Exons: 3
Source: RefSeq, a predicted model, not a curated record